CAAGAGUAAACAACAAUACAAUAUCUCCCUUUCAUUGUCAUGCCAACUAUACACAGUAAAUCUUUGAAAGAAAAUUUUAAACAAAAUUAAUCUCAAUUUGUAACAGUUAUGACCAGAGAAGCCCUAUAAUUUUCAUGUUUUCAUAUUCAUGGCCUUCAAUCCCUAGAAUGAAACUUCAAUAUCAUCAGAAAAGUCCAAAAUAAGCCUAAAUUCAAUAAAAUUCAAAAUGUACCUGUUUUUAUGGUUUUCCUGAGCGAGGUCGAGUGAGAGCGAUUGAAGCAGAUAUCGACGCCAAUAUUCAACCAGAGAGUGACGCCGAGCGUGAGCGAUUGAACGUGACAGCGACGCCGAGAUUGAACCACAGAUCAACUUCGAUCGACUAAGAUUAGGGUAGAGAGCGAUUUCCUGCUCAACUGGGAUUUAUCUACAUGCGGAGAGCGAUGGAGUCGACAGAUAUUUAACAAGAGCGCGACGUGGCCUGAUUGAUGGAAUCACGAAGAUCAUGAAGAACCCUAAACCAAAGAUCGUUAUCGAGUGUCAGAGAGAGAUAGAGAGAGUGGCAGAGGUGAGAGUUCGGUUGAUUGUGGAGAGUGGGAGUCUAGGAGAACGUGGUAAUUUUUUUUUUUUUACAUGAGAGAGAACGUGUAAUUAAUUAAUAUCACAAGGGUAUAAUAUUAAUUGUUAGAGGAGUUAAAACAUUAAUCUUACUCAAAAGUUUUUCAUUUAAAUGGGCUUUACAAUUCUUGUUUUUUAGUAAAUGUUUAUUUUCCCAACAAAGUAUGUGUGUAUAUAUAUAUGUAUAUUUUUCUUGCUUUAUUUUAUUCACAAUUUUUUUAUUAUAUAUUUUUGGUUCUUGUUAUUAUAUAUAGUGUACAACAUCAACAAGAGCUGGAUGCAAUUAGGGAGGGGGUCCCCAGUUUAUAUGAGAGGCAUUUUUGAUUUUCUUGAGUUCGUGCGUCUACAUAGUCCUCCAGACAAAGUUAUUCACAUAUGUCCGUGUAACAAAUGUCUCAAUCGGACAUCAGUAACAUAUGAAGACAUGUAUUCUCACUUGGCACUAAACGGUAUUUGUUCUAGUUAUACCCCAUGGACAUGGCACGGCGAAAAUCAAGUUCAAAUGCCUACAUUUGCAGAAAUUCAAGCACAACAUAAUCAGCAGGCAGGAUCUUCCAAUGCUAGUUACGGAGACCCUGCUGUGAUGAACCUCUUAAACGAUGCCUUCCCGUUCGCCGCCUCAGGAUAUCAGCAAAAUGUUGUUUAUGACAACGCCCCUGACACCUUCCCAAAUGUCUCCCACGUUGACUAUAGCAGUGAUUAUGAUAAUUACAACAGGCUUGUACGAGAAGUACAAACCCCAUUGUAUCCUGGUAGUGAGCAUACUGUGUUGGGUAUCGCCAUGGAGCAAAUGCAGAUAAAAAACAAGCAGGGAAAGACUAAGACAUGUUUUGAUGCGGAUAUUGCACUUAUGAAGAAAGUGCUUCCCAAAGUUAACAGUUGUCCGGAAAAUUUCGACCAGGUAACAAGGAUGUUAGCUGGCCUCGGUCUUGAUCACCAAAAUAUAGACGCCUGCGUCAAUAACUGCUUCUUCUAUUACAAAGACAACAAGGAUGAAGUUGGGUGCCCACACUGCUACAAGCCAAGGUAUGAAGCUUCCACUUCAUCUAAGAAGAAAAAGCCCAUUCCUAGGAAGGUUCUUCGUUAUUUCCCGUUAGGUCCUCGUUUGCAACGUCUGUACAUGUCUUCCCAUACGGCCAAACAUAUGAGAUGGCACCAGGCAAGGCACCAGCGAGAGGAGAGGAUAGAUCUAGAUAAUCUCACACACCUCGCAGACGGGGAGGCUUGGAAGCACUUUGACCGUUCUUUUCCCGAAUUUGCUGGAGGCUAUCGAAAUGUCAGACUCAGACUUGCAACAGACGGAUUCAAUCCUACUGGAAACAUGAAUUUGUCUUACAGCAUUUGGCCUGUGAUAGUAUUUCUGUACAAUCUACCUCCCAACAUGUGUAUGAGGAAAGAGUACAAUUUCCUUACACUUAUGGUUCCAGGGCCGUGUUCUCCAGAAAAGUGCUUGGAUGUGUACAUGAGACCAUUAAUUGACGAGUUGCAGGAGUUAUGGGAAAACGGACUCCCUACUUUUGACAAGCAUGGUCAAACUUCAUUCAUGAUGAAAGCAGCUGUUAUUUGGACCAUCAGUGAUUUUCCAGCUUACGGGAUAUUGUCUGGCCAACAAACUAAGGGGUACAAGGCUUGCCCGGUAUGCAUAGAUGACGUCAAUUCUAGUUGGCACGCCGACAAAAUUUGUUUCUUAGGAUCUCGUAGACAUCUUCCCGAGGAUCACGAGUGGCGGUUGGAUGCUGAUGCAUUUGAUGGGACUGAGGAGCAUAAUCCGAAACCCCCAGGGAGGUGUGGUGAAUGGAUUUUGGAGAGGCUUAACCAGCACUAGUUCGGAUAUUUGAGCACGAGUAAAGAAGUAACUGACUUGAAUCCUCCCACGCCUGAUGAGUUUAAGUAUUGGACGCACAAAAGUGUAUUCUUUGAAUUGCCUUACUGGUUGACCUUGAAAAUCAGACACAACUUGGACGUCAUGCACAUAGAAAAGAAUGUUUGUGACAGCGUUCUUUGAACAAUUCUGAAUCUCAAACAUAAGAACAAAGACACCGCCAAAGCCCAUGUUGAUCUUAAGAUGAUGGGUAUACACUCCCAGCUAUGGCUAGUAGAGAGCAAAAAAGCAAAAAAAGCCGUAAUGCCGAAAGCAGACUACACAGUUCAUCCUCAAAAGAAGGCAGAAGUGUUUCAGUGGUUUGAAAACGUUAAGUAUCCUCACGGGUAUGCAGGGAAUAUCGCUCGAUGUAUUGAUGGGGGAAAAUAAGAUUAGUGGGUUGAAGACUCAUGACUGUCAUGUUUUGCUGCAACGUCUUCUUCCCGUGGUCAUUAGACCGUAUUUGCAGAGUGAUGUGGUUGACACGUUAAUGGCUUUGUCAAAGUUCUUUCAGAGGAUAUGCGCUAAGGAGCUUAAAAAGUCUGAUGUUCGGUCAUUGCAAGAAGACAUUGUGUACAUCAUGUGCAAGCUGGAGAGGAUNNNNNNNNNNNNNNNNNNNNNNNNNNNNNNNNNNNNNNNNNNNNNNNNNNNNNNNNNNNNNNNNNNNNNNNNNNNNNNNNNNNNNNNNNNNNNNNNNNNNNNNNNNNNNNNNNNNNNNNNNNNNNNNNNNNNNNNNNNNNNNNNNNNACAGUUCCCAACUGUACUUGGAAAUAAUAAAUAUCACUUGACACGUCCCACGUGUCGACUAAAAUUAGCAAGAGAGUUCCAAGAAAAAUAAAUGGAACUCAAUAAUCCAACCAAAUAUUAUAUCUCUAAAUACCUUUGAAAUUAGAUAAUUUAGCGCAUGCAAGAUAUUAAAAUCAAAGGUCCACUCACAGUGCUCGGCUAUGCUUGCCGACGGCCCGAGGCUUCCUCCAAAUGAUCCUCCUCACGUCCUGAACAAUAAAUAAUCAUUAAGCCUCCAAACCAGGACAAAACUUUAAUAAAAUUUCCGAAAUAAAAAGGAAGCCUAUAAUUUCAUUUCUCUUGCCCAACUUCUCCACAUUUUACCUAAUAAGGCUCACAUUACUCCGCACUUACCAAAAGCCAUAAUUUAACCUUUUUAGACUUUACAACCUGCUAAACCAACUGCCGGAUUUCCAUUUGAAUAACCGCUUAAAUCCUUUAUCAUUGAUAAAUCCCAAACGUUAUCAAAUCUCCUCCAAAUAUUCCCAACUAUACUUCAUUAAACUCCUCUCAUUAAAACAAACCUAAAAUCAUGAAAAACUGCUCCUAAGGGGCGGCGGUGCAGGCUGCCCCGCCGGCGGCGGCGGCCGGCAGCCGAAUUCCGGCGAGGGCCAAUGCUUCUCAAAUUUUCACAGAAUAUUCCUCUCAUCAUGCUUAACAACAUUCAUAACUAGCACUUAGUCCAUUUCUAAAGCUAACUAGGGCAAACGAAUCAAAACUUCCAUAAAUCCCUAAAAACUUCAAUUAUACAUUUCUCCAUAACAACAACGAAAUAGACUAAUUCCUUUUGAGGGAAUACUCACCUUAAUGAGCGCUACAAGAUGAGCCAAAGAUUCCGACCUAUGGUGGCCGGAGGUGGGAUUUCCGGCAAAAAGCUUCCCGGCAUCUCCGGCGAGUUUUCUCCUCUUCAGGCGGGUUAACGGCUCGGGGGCUAGGCCGGGGAGAGAGAGGAGGUGAUGGGGGUCAGAACUGGGGUGGGCUGGCAGCUGGUGGCUGGCCGAACGGCGGCAGCUGACUUCCGGCGGAGAAGGGCUCGAGGGAAACUCACGGGAGAAAGAUGGAGAAGGAAGAGGGGAAGAGAGAAAAUGAGGGGGAGAUUUUGGGCUGCUCCACAGCCGGCCCAGCUAUAAAACCCAACAAAAAAAAUAAUGCCCACUAAUAUUUACCCCCUUUUUACCAUCUCAUAAAAUUACUCUCUUAUUUCAUAACUUUUUCAUGUUAACUCUGAUUUUAACACAUAGCAUGUCUACGAACUCAUAAAAACGUCCUCUACGACUUUCAUGAAGAAAGUUUUUCCGAAUUCCAAACGCAAGAAAAAGUCAACUCUAGGGUCCUUAAGUGGUAAACGGUGUCUUAACACAGUAAAAGACCAAAAUAAUACCAAAGUAAAUAACCGUAAAAUAACUUAAGAACCGGGGUGUGACAUCGACAAUAACUUCCAAUCCCCACUUGCCAAUUUUACCACUGCAAUACUCCAAAUAGAAGCUAAAUUCAUGGAAUAGACUACCUUAAGAUCUACAUCCCACUCAUCCUCUUAGGAAUUAUCCUCAUCAGCUAACAACAACAACUAAAGCAAAGAACAAUUAUUUGAGAUCAACAACUCCAAUUACACUCCUUUAACUACCCUUAUGUAUCGCCAUACAUAUUACCAAUUUAAAUUCAUUCUGACACUCUUCUCUCCUAACAAUCACUCGAUCUAAAACCACAAUUUCUAACCAACCACCACUUCGAAUUUACAACUUCAACCUUUCUUACAUCAAUGACUAAAGAUAUCGAAGAUUGAGAUUACCUUUAGAUGAUAGGGGUUCGUCAGUAAUCUCCUGCGACAGCCAAAAGACUUAAAAUCUGGAACGAGUCCGCUUCCAAACACUAUUUUGUCCAUAAACAUAUUGCUUAAAACAAAACAAAUUCAAACUCUAUUGCCGUAAAAUCAAAGCGACCACAACCAUCUCACAUCCGCUUCACCAUUAUAUACCAACGCCAUUUACACUUGCAAUCCUUCCAAAACACUCAACACAAAUAGGUGAGCAAAUCCCAAAUUACAAUUAUCAAACCUAAAUCGACCAAUAACAAUUCCAGAAACCACUCUUCAAUACAUAAAAUUCGGAAGAAAAGCAUAACAGUCCCACAUAACACCUCAAUUAAUCUCCACAACUUAUUCGCUCAAACAAUAGCUUUCCACAUUAUAUUUCCAAACCAAGCAACACUUACACAUUAACACCUUUAUGACAUCUCUUAUUUCAGCACCAAUCUUAUCUAGCAAUUCUCAAUCCUUUAUUCACAUGCAUGUCCUCUCUAUCAAAAAUACCCACAAAAAGGCUCAACUUACCACUCAAAUGAAAGCCGACAACACUUUAAAUAAGGAAUAAAACACUGCAAUUACAUGCCAUUUCCCAACUCAUAAUUGACCUCAAAACCUCGCAACCACAAUAAAGCAUGAAGGAAAGGUGCAAAUCACUUACCUUUCCAUUACUUAGAAAAUAACCAAGAUAUUCUUUGAGGUUGGCGUACGGAGGUAUAGUCUUGAAGAUGUAGACAUUUAUGGCACAAUAUUGUCCAUAAAUAAGAUAAGAACAACUACCUCACAUACCUAAUAAACACAUAGCAUCUAAUGCAUAUAAUGCUAAUGGAUCCGCCGCGGUCGGACCAUCACUCUAUAGACACUAAGUAUCACCAAGUAUAUAAGGUAGUGAUAAGAAUCGGAUAACCUGGCUCUGAUACCAACUAUCAGGACUCACCCCAAAUUUCAUCCUGAAAUCCGAAGUAAAUUCUGUGGGGACCACCUUCAAGGAAAAUUUACUGAAAAAUCGGCAUAGCCUUCCUUGAAAAUGGACAACCCUUUCCUGAAAAAUCAAACUUAACACUUCUAUAAUCAAACCUCCAUCCUCAACUCCUGGAGCCUUCAUGCUCCCUAAGUUCAACACAUCUCCCAAUAUAUUAAAUACUAAACUUCGGGAAUUCCACAACCAACAACAAAGACAUCAUUUCUUCACUAACAGGUUAUCAGAGCAUAUCUAGUAAUAAAAGAAUAACAAUAAAUAAAGAUUAAGCGGAAGCAGCCUUUGACUAUGCCUCGACUCCAUGUAAGCUCAACCUCAAAUAACUUAGCCUGCAAACUGGGCAUUUAUAAACCAAAGGGCACAGGGGAAAGUAAUUUAAAAAAAGUUAGAGUGAGUGGACGAAAAUAAAUAAAUUACAAUAACUUAACAAUUAUAAAACUUAUAUACUUUCNNNNNNNNNNNNNNNNNNNNNNNNNNNNNNNNNNNNNNNNNNNNNNNNNNNNNNNNNNNNNNNNNNNNNNNNNNNNNNNNNNNNNNNNNNNNNNNNNNNNNNNNNNNNNNNNNNNNNNNNNNNNNNNNNNNNNNNNNNNNNNNNNNNNNNNNNNNNNNNAAUAAAAUAAGGGGAAGAGUUAUCACCAUGAAAAAGGAGCCUCCCAGGCUCGGGUCGAUGUCUCCCAGGCUAUAAUAGUGUCCCACGCUAAGCGCUCAACUCACAUAUGAUGAGGACCACUAAAUAAGGCUAUAAUAGCGUCCCACGCUAAGUGCUCAACUCACAUAUGAUGAGGACCGCUAAUAAGGCUAGCUAACUAAUAAAUAAAAAUACCGAUCGGUUGCCUCCCAGGCUAUAAUAGCGUCCCACGCUAAGCGCUCUACUCACCUAUGGUGAGGACCGCUAAUAAUGGUUAGCUAGCAAUGAACAAUAUAAGCGGCCCUAUAUUAUGGUCACUAAAAACAUACAAAGUCACUUAAAUCCAUUAACUUCCCCAAUAUCAAAUGAAUGGUACGGUUCCCAACCGUAUUUGAAAAUCAUCAUAAGAAAUUAUAUUAAAACUCAAUGACGUGUCUUACACGUCAAAAUAUUCUCGAAACCAUACUAUAAGCGAGGGUUUCAAUAUCAAAUAUAACUCAUAAAUAACAAUAUCUCCACUCGAAAAUACUCGCUAAAAUAUUCUCCAAGUCAAAAUCAUUAUGCCUCAAAUAAACAAUUAAAUUAUGAUGGAGAACUACCGAAAAUCUCAUUUUCGAUAAUCAUUUAUUAAUCCCAAAGUCACCAUUAAAUCAAUCACAAUGAAAUCCAAAACUUAUAAAAUAACCAAACUCAAAUAUCAAAUUAAUAAAUCGAGCUUAAAUCCAUAAAUCAUGACCAACCGUUAAUUAAUGCAUCACACUCAAAUAAUUUUCAAGAUCAUCUCAUGAGCCGAAAAUUAUAAUACAUGCUUGGAAAAAUAAAAUGAUAAUUUAUAAAAUCUUGCAUGCAUAUUUAAUUAAACCAAAACGUCCACUCACAACUUUAGGCAUAAGCCCGACGAUAACCGCAUCGCCACUCAAGCGAGGUUCCCUUCGCAUCCUGGCACAACAACCAUGCUUAGAACCAAACUUCAAUUCCAGAAACAAAUACUUCAAUAAAAACAUCCAACUCUCUUCCGUUUAACCCACUACUCUUAAUAGGGUUAAACUCGCCGGAUUCGCACCAAACUCCACUACAACCUUAAUUCAUCAAUCCUAACAUUCUAUAAUAAAUACCAAGGAAAUCCAACGGCCGGAUUUUUAUUCUAAUAAUCGGCAAAAUCCUUAAUCUUUUAAAAAAAUCCCAAACCUUAUCAAAACUCCUCCAAAAAUUCCAAACUUCACAUCAUUAAACUCCCCUUAACAUAACAUUUAAAACCCUGAAAAGCACCCUUACAGUGGCGGCGCCGCCGUCUGCUCCGCCGGCAGCAACGGCCGGCGGCCGACUCGGGCGACCCCCAAUGGCUACCAAAUUUUAAUAGCAUCUUCCUCUCAACAUCCCAAACAACUUUCAUAACUAUCACUAAGUUCAAUUUCAAGCCUUAAUAGGGUAAUCGAAGCCAAACAUAUCAAGAAAACCCUAGGAAAUUCAAACAUCCGAUUCUCCUUACCUAGCUCGAGUUAGGAUGUAUCCUUUUAGGUGUUUGUUGCUGGAAGGGAGAGCUUCCAAAUGAUACCAACAGCUCCGGCUAUGGUGGCCGGAAAAGGGAUUUUUAGGCGAAAACCCCACCACGCACAGCCGCGGCUUUCCGGCAUGAUUUCUCCUUCACGGCGGCGCGACACCGGCUGUCACCUACCUAGACUUGUAAAGGAUGCUCCAAGCUUCAAAUCGAUACCAAGCACGCCACCUAGCUCGGCCGGACGGCGGCGGAUGGAGGUGAUGAAGUUGCCGGUCGGAGGAGAGGCGCGGGAGAGAGAAGAGAGAGUGAGGGGGUGAAACUGAUUUCUUACCUUACCCAUCCGGUAAGUUUCCAAUUUUAUACCCCCAACCAAAAUAGUAACUUUUGUUUUUAGACCAUAACUUAUUCAUACGAACUCCGAUUUAAGCGUGUCACGUGUCUACGAACUCCGCUUAACGUCCUCUAUGACUUUCAUGAAGAAAGUUUUUUCCAAAUUUUAGACGAAAGAAAAAGUCAACUUUUGGAGCCUUAAAUAGUAAACGGUUACUCAAAACGGUAAACGCCAAAGUAACCCAAAAGUAAAUAACCGCAAAUUGACUUCAGAACAGGGAUGUGACAUUGGAGGUCGCCGGAGUCGACCGCCGCUGCCGGCAGAGCAGACAGCGACGCCGUCGCUGUUAGGGGGAUUUUCAUAGUUUUAAAUGUGUUAUUUUAAGGGAAGUCUUUUGAUAUGAAGUUUGGAAUUUUGGAUAGGUUUGGGAUUUUUCAAAGUUUGCUAUUUUGGUGGUUAAUUGGGGUAGAAUCCGGCCAUUAGAUUAAUGAGGUUUAGACUGUAGAAGGGUGUAAUAAGGCUACCGGUAUUUUUCGAUGAAGUUUGGAUCAUAUUAAGUUUAGGAAUGGCGAGUUUGGGCAAUGAUGAGCGUGCUCAAGGCUCACAUUUAAUGUUGCCUAUAUUUGGAUAAGUGUUGAUUUUAGUUAGGAAAUUAAUUAUAUGUUUGGAACAGGGCGAGAGGAGGCUCGAGCAGAAAAGGCCUCAGAUUGACAUUAGGCUUAGGCCUAAUUUGUGAGUGGACUUUUGUUUUAAAUAUUAAGCAUGCUAUGGUUCAUGGUUGAUUAAUUUCUUUUGUUGGAGCAUUUGACGUCAUUUUAUUUUGACUAUUUUAUUUCUUUUGGAGAGUUACCGAAAAUGGGAUUUUUCGAUGAAUAUUAUUACAUAUUUAUGAGGAGAGUAUGUAUAUAAAUGCUAGCUAGCCAUAUGUGUCUGUCCACCUUAAUGACGUAAUAUAUAACCGCAUUAUGGUGUGACGUGAGCGUUAGACGUGAGCGUAGUAGCCCUAUAUGAGUGUCUAAUACAUAUAGGGGGUAUGGGCACAUAUUUAUACACCCAUCCAUCCAUUUUAAUGGCGUAGUGUAACACCGCAUUAAGACGUGACGUGAGCGUUAGACGCAAGCGUAGUAGCCUUGUAUGAAUUUCUAUUUUCUUAUAUUUCCUUCAUAGAAUUCAUAUAAGGAGUAUGGACGUGUGUAGAUACAUACAUAUAUAUUGAUGAAUUUAUAUUAUUGAGUUUGAGAGACUCGAUAUUUAAGAGAUGAAAGUUUUAUCGCUUGAGGCAUGCGUUCGAUUUCUUUCGAAAUUAAAUUGGAAAAGCAUAAAUAUUUUUACUUAUCGGUUCAUUUUAAUAAAUUUAUUUUUGUCCACUCACUCUAACAUUUUCGAAUGUUUUCCCCUAGGCCCUUCGUUUUAUAAAUGCCCAGUCUGCAGAGUUUGGGUUGGCACUAGUUACCCAUUUCUCCACCAUUUUUCACCAGUAGGUUACCUGUUUAACCUACUAAUGUAUUUUCUUGCUUCCUCUAGUUUUUAUUAGCUCUGAUUAUCCUUGGGGAUAUUGUAUAAUUUUUCGGUGGUGUGUUAAGACUUAUGUUAUAUUUUUGAAUAUUCGAAGGUUGAAGUUUGUUAUUAGAUGGAUAUUUAUAUGAUGGAUUAGAAGAUGGUUUCAUUAUUAUGUUGUGGUGGUUGUAUUGUGGGGAGCGAGUGGCUCCAGGAGUUGAGGAUGGUUGUUUGUUUUAGGAGUGUUAUCUUUGAAUUUUUCAGGUUAGGAUUGUCCAUUUUCAAGGGAGGUUAUGCCGAAUUUUUGGUAAAUUUUUCCUUGGAGAUUAACCCCGCAAGAUUUACUUCGGGUUUCAAGGUGAAAUUCGGGGUGGGUUUUAACAAACCUUCUUCUCCAAAAUGCUCCGACUACACUCUUUAAUAAGAUGAUCCAAGGAUAAGAACAUAUCCUCAAUUAGAAUUGUAAGGACCAUAACAUGUGCCGCCAUAACAAGCAUUAUCCAAAAUGUUCCCAACUGACUUACAUUGUGGAAUAAGUAGUUGGUAAAUUGGUUGUCAAUCAAUACUUCUCUAAAUUGAUAUACGGCUUUUUAUAUAGCAACGUCCUGCAACCAAGCACUAGCCACCAAAUUCCCCGUGACUAAUUAGCUCAAGAUUAGGGUCCUCAACAACUCGUAAAAGUACCUCUUAUAUUACUAUGGGUACCUCACCAUAUCACUUCUUUCACAUCCAUAAAAUAUACAACUACUUCGAACUUUCCUUCCAACUCUUCUCUCCCAAAAGUCACGUAACUCGACACCAAGAUCUUUCAUCGGACUACUACAACUCCAUACUUGCCCUCCAUAAAUAGAAAACUCCAAGGAAUGAUUCAAACGUUUCACCCACUACAGAUUCGCGCAAGAUGCCCAACCUAGCAUCUUCAUCAUAACUCAAUCGAUCGUUGAACCAAAAGAAAGAAAUGUUGUCAAGCUUGUGAGUUCCCAACUUGAGUCCCAACUCGCAACUAAAUUUUAACAAUUUAUGAUAUCAAAUCAAUAACCCUUGGAAAAGACCUAAUCUAAACACCUUUUUAUUACUCAAAGCAGGAUGAUCACUGAAGAGAUCGGCGUAUGGAGACAUAGUCUUGAAGAUAUAGACAUUUAUAGCAUCAUACUGUCCAAAAAUAAGACUAGAACGACUACCCCACAAACCUAAUCAACACAUAGCAUCCAAAGCAUAUAAUGCUAAUGGAUUCGCCGCGGUUAGACCAUCACUCUAUACACACUAAGUAUGACCAAGUAAAUAAGGUAGUAACAAAAAGAGGAAAGAAUCGAAUAACCUAUUACUCUGAUACCAACUGUCAAGACCCACCCUGAAUUUCACCCUAAAAUCCAAAGUAAACCCUGCAGAGACCACCUCCGAAGGAGAUGCUACCGAAAAUCGGCCAAACCUCCUUUGAAAAUGGACAACCCUUUCUGAAAACACCUGCAAACACUUCUAAAAAUCCAAAUCCAACAUUAUACUCCUGGAGCUUUCGUGCUCUCCAAUUUAUUUACUAAUCUAAAAAAAAUCCCACAACCAACAUUUAUAGGUUCAGAGCAACUCUAAUAGUGAAGGAAUGAAACAAAAAGAUAAAAAUAAGCAGAAGCUAUAUUAUGGACUAUGCCUCAACUCCAUGUACACCCGAUCUCAACUAAGCUAACCUGCUAACUGGGCAUUUAAAACUGAAAGGCCCAGGGGAGAAGCAUUUGAAAACGUUAGAGUGAGUGGACAAAAAAUAAAGUUCAAAAGGAACAAAUAAUUAACUAAGAUUUUAUGUUUUCUCAAUUUAAUUUCUAUAGAAAAACUAUGAUGCAUGAUAUAAGCUCAAAAGUUUUUAACUUAAAAACUGGCAAAUACGUGACUAGCCCCGCUAGUCUCCAAAACUUUUUAAUAUAACUCUCAAGCUAUAGUAUAUAAGUAUGUAUUUACAUACGUCAUACUCCUUAUAUGAAUUCUUGUGAAAGAUAGAAAUUCAUACAAGACUACAACAUUUGCGUCCCACGCUCACGUCACACCAUAAUAGGAUUUCAAACGCUACAUCAUUCUGACAGAAAAAAAUGGUGUAUAUACGUGCAUAUCCCCUAUAUGAAUUCCUACAUUCAUAUAGAGCUACGACGCUUACGUCCCACUCUCACAUCACACCAUAAUGACGGCUAAUUGCUACACCAUUAAGGCGGAAAAGCACAUAUGGCUAGCUAGCAUUUAUAUACAUACUAUUCUCAUAAUUAUACAUAUAUAUCCAUCGAAAAUCCUAUUUUCAGUAACUCUCCAAAAUAAAGAAAAUUGUCAAAUGAAAAAGAAAGACGCCAUAAGCUCCAAUAACAAGAAACCGCUCACCAACAAACCAUUGCAUGCAUAUAAUUUAAAAUAAAAGUCCACUCACAGUGAUUCGGUUAUGUUAGUUGCCAAUUCAAGACUUCUCAAGUCAACCUUUCGACCAUUUUCUAUGAUGAUUCACUUUCUACUUAAUUAACACCUCAUUCUCAUUCUAAGUAUGCAGGAACGAGACCUUAACAAGAAACUAAAUCGUAAAGCCUUACACAAAUCCCAUAAUUGCCGAAAUACAUUUAACUCAACUCGAAUAGGAACUUUUCCCAAAUAAUACACCCAAAGUACUAAAGUGAGUCAAUAAAUAAUCAGAGUACUUUUAGUGUAAAUUAGGUUUAACGAGUUUGAUCUAAGGCUGGGAAAAAAACCCGAACGAAGAAAAAAGACCGAACCGGACCGGCCAGCCCGACUGGAUCGGGCUAGAUUUUUUCACGGGCCCUUCUUCAUAUUCUGCCCAUCUGGGCUGGUCCCAAAUAUACCCGGGCCGGUCCCGGUCCCUAAAUUUGAUAAAGGAUUUUGGCCCGAAAGCCCGACAUACAUGUGUCAUUCAGCAAUUCGAUAAUUUUAACGAUCUUAUACUACUAGCAUAGGUUCAACCACACAGGAUUAGUUGAAUUUCAGUAACCCUAAGUCAAACUGUCAAAGGGUCAAACACACUUUGGAAAAACAGUUUCGCCUCUUUUAGUCUCUCGAGUCCAUCUCCUCUGACUCUCUUCGCCUCUCUUAGUCUCUCGAGUCCAUCUCCUCUGAGUCCUCUUGACGAUGUCGCCGGCGUCCAUCUAUUCCUCUUGAAGCCGACCGGCGCCGAUCUCUUCCUCUCAAUCGACGACGACUAGCGCCCAUCUCUUCCUCUCGAUUGACGACGACCGGUGCCCAUGUCUUCCUCUCGAUCGACGAUGACCGGCGCCCAUCUCUUCCUCUCGACGACAGCGCCGGCGCGCAUCUCUUCCUCUCGAUGUCGCCUGCGCUCAUUUCCUCCUCAGUUGUCCACCGCCUCUGCCCUCCGGUAAGCCUUCGCUUCCAUCUCUAUUAGUUAUGUCCUUACUUGAUUUAUGUCCAAUUAGUUGCCUCCGAGCAUUGGAAUAGUAUCGAAUUCAGUUUCAAUGACAACAAUAAUGGAAUGUAGAAAAGUAGGGGGAGUUGAAUUUGAGGAGACCUAGUUCUAAGGGCCUCUCAGGUUCAUUUGGAAGAAUUGUGCAUUACAUUAGGCUUUACUGCUUUAGGAUGCAAUGUGCCAAUGUCAGUGGAUAGGAGAGAAAACUUAUGUUAUGCGGCCAUUAUGAUGAUGAGGUUAGUAGAAUUGAGCAUUACCUUUUAGUUUAGUAGACAACUACAAUCGAUUCUAGAUCAGGACGUAUGUUAUGCGGCCAUUAUAAUGAUGAGGUUAUACGAAAAUCAACCAACUGCAUGACUUUCGUAAUGCUGAACUUGAUUGCUUUCUGAAUGUAUUUAGAAAUAACAACUUAUUAACGUACUGCUUAUAAGAUACUUAAGAAAAUGGUGGACAGUUUUCAUAAGAAAAUUGUUGUUUUGUUUUUUAUUUUGUUUGUUGUUGUUUUGUUGUUAUUGUGGUUGUUGUGAACUUGUGAUAGUGAGACAAUACGGCUAGCUGGUUGUGUACUUGAGUUCAUGCAGGUGUGAUGUCGACGUCUUCAUCACAAUAUGGCUACCAUUCAUGCAGUUCUAGUAGUGAGACCGGGUGUUACGACUCAGAAGAAGACAUUGAAGAAGUACCAGCUCACACUCAGACAUGGAAUGAUUUGGUUGCGGCGGAGGCUGAGAUGCUAGAGAACAAGGAGCCAGAACGGGAACCAAAAGUUCCAAUUGAGGUUGUAGAAGAAGCACCAGCAGCAACUGAGAUUUCGCGGGGUGUGCCAAAAAAAGGAGAGGUUCUGCCUCAACUGGACCUAAGGCUGCUUCAAAAUUAACGUCAAUGGUGUGGGAGCAGGAAGUAUGACAAAGAACUCUUCACUCAUCGAGAUGGGAAGAAAGUGUACACGGGGCAUGAGAAACGUGCAACAUGCGUGCAUUGUGGUGCUGACCUGAAAGCAGGUUCUUCCUUUAAUGGUACGAGUACUUUGCGUAGGCAUGUGCAGAAGGUAUGCAAGAAGUAUCCUGGUAGGGAGAGUAUAGACGACGAUCAAGCUGUGAUAGUUGGUGAUGCCCGUGAUGGUGAAGUUGAACCUGAAAUGGGACUGCAAUUAGUGUGGACCAAUGACUGUUGUAUACAAGCUGCUUGUGAGAUGAUUGUGAUUGAUGAGUUGCCGUUCAACCAUGUUGAGAAUGAAGGGUUUAGGCAUUUCUACAAGGUAGUUGUCUCGCAAUUCACUUCACCAUCUAGGAGAUCAAUAGUAAGGUGCUUCUGGAAGUUGUAUGAUGAGAAGAAAGAGGUGCUUAGGAAGGUGUUAAGUAGUCACAGGGUGUGCUUAACGACAGAUACUUGGACUUCAAUUCAGAACAUCAACUAUAUGGUGUUGACAGCGCACUUUAUAGAUGCUGGUUGGAAUUUGCACAAGUGAAUCAUCAACUUUUGUGUGAUUCCCAAUCACAAUGGCACAACAACAAGAAAGAUUUUAAAAUCUUGUUUGCUGCGUUGGAGGAUAGAGAAGGUGUUGACUAUCUCGGUCGAUAAUGCAAAUGCAAACAAGGUGGCGAUAGACUACAUUCAAGGGAAAAUGGCUGCAUGGAAAGACCCACCGGUGUUUGGAGGAAAGCACAUUCAUGUGAGGUGUAUGGCUCACAUCUUGAACAUCAUAGUGAAGACUGGUUUGUCCUUAAUGGAUAAAAGUUGUGCAGCAAUUAGGAAUGUAGUCAAGUAUAUUAGAAGUAGUUCUAAUAGAUUGGAUGCGUUCAAGCUGUGCAUGGAGAAAGAGACAUUAGAAGGGAACAUAGACACAGAAAAAAUACCAGCGUGAUAUAGAACAGCUUGCACAAACAUUUAAGACACAGCUUGCUAGGAAGGCAAAGAAAACAAAGUCAAAGCAGCAGCUUUGAAUCUGCAAAGCAGUAGCUUUGUUCUUGCAUAUUUUCUAUCAGCAUUAGGAUUAUUUUACUUUCUAUGUUUUCAUUAGGAUUUAAGUUUUAUUUAGAAUAAAGGAUUCCUAGUUCUAGUAUGAUUAGGUUUAUUUCUAUGCCUAUAUAAGGCCCCUGCUAAAUUGUAUUUUCAUGCAAGUUAUCAAUAAGAAAACCCAAAAAAAUUAGAGUAAAAACUAUUGUGUUUUAGGUUUGUGCCUGUGUUUUGCUAGUGGAUUCUAGCUUACUCCAUAAGGUUUCGACGCUUGACGAAACCUUGUUUCUAUCGUGAUUACGCUUCCGUAUCACAGCGCCUUAUCUUCCAAGAUGGAAUUCUACCUUUUUAAUGUUAGACAUUGCUUUAGAUGUGAAGCCAGCUUUUGAUAGGAUGGCUGCGAAGGAAAUGAACAAGUAUAAAAGCUAUUUUGAUGAAGAAGAUGAGCUCGAGAAGGAAGAAGAACAAGAGUAUGUUUCGGUGACACCAACAACAAGAAAAACAAGAGUUGGACCACCACAAGAGGAUGAUUGGGCAAAGGCUAAAAUAUUUGUGUUGAUCUUGAGGGUUUUUUAUAAUGUGACAAUGAGGAUGAGUAUGACUAGACAUCCCACUGCUCAUAAAGCAUUUCAUGACAUUGUAACAAUAGAAUGAGAGAUUAAUGCAUUGUUUGCACCUGCGGCUGGAAUUAAUACUAAAGUGGAAUUGCUAAUGUUGAAGAUGGCAGAAAAGAUGCUUGCCAAUUUUAAAAAAUAUUUUGGACGUAUUGAAGACAUGAAUCAGGUUCUGUAGGUUGCAUUGGUAUUGGAUCCUAGGUUCAAGCUGAAGAACAUAACUCAUACUUGCCUACAAAUGCUCCAAUAUUCAGAUGAGGAAGCAAAAGCCAAGGCCAACUCUGAAGAACAUAACUCAUACUUGCCUACAAGUGCUCCAAUAUUCAGCUGAGGAAGCAAAAGCCAAGGCCAACUCUAUUAAGGAGCUCUUGGUAUCCAUAACUGACAUCUAUAGAACAUCAUCCAAUGCAUCAACCACUGGCAAUGCAUCUUCUAAGAGCAGCACUGCAGCAAGUGUCGUUUUUGGCAGCACAAAAGAAACAACCUCAUCAUCUUCCAAGUCGAAAAUGACAGGGAAAAUGGCUGACUUGUUGGAAGGUAGUACCUACUUUCUGUUUAUGUUUAUAACUUUAUAUACUACUUUCAAUGUUAUAACUUAAUUUGUGAUGUAUUCUCUUUUUGUUGUAGGGUGGCAAAAAGCUUUAGCUGAAUCCGACGAAGUAGUUGUUGUUGAGAGUGAAGUUGAUAGAUACCUACUUGAUCCAAUCGAGGUUCCACCAAAACAAGAAGCAGAUAGUUGGUGCCUACUAAGUUGGUGGAAGACAAAUGGUUGCAAGUAUCCAAACCUUGCUCUUGUGGCAAAGGAUGUACUUGCUAUCUAGGUUAACACAGUUGCAUCCGAGUCCUCCUUCUCUACUGGAGGUAGAGUGAUUGACCCUUUUAGGAGUUCUUGAACUCCUAAAACAGUGGAAACAUUGCUUUGCUUGCAAAAUUGGAUAAAGAAAAAGGAUCAGUCCGAAAUUGAGUAUUAUCUAAGCCAAGAAGAGAUUGAGUUUUAUGAAAAGAUGGAAAGAGGUAUGUUUGCAUCAUUGCAUUCUUUAGAUUUUAUUAAUAUUAUGAAUUGGACUUGAUUUAUUUCAUUCUUUUGAACUUUGUUUUAGAUGAUGCAAAGCGAAAGACAAAGGAAAAGAAGGCAAAGGGAAAAGGAAAAGGAAAAGGAAAGCUUGUGGCUACAUCAGAAACAGAAAGUGAAGAUGAAGUUGUGGUUGUGGCUGCAUCAGGUCCCUCACAACCCAAGAAACUGAAGAAAGCAGCAAAAAUUGCUAAAAAAAGUGACGCAUCAGGUCCUUUUACUCCACUGCGACAUUAUCAAAAAAAAUGUUUCAGCUCCUACUGAUGUCCAAGCCAAGUCCCAGCCUGCAAAACUUAAACAGAUGGUUCUUGCAUCGAAGAAAUCGAAAGGUAUAAUUUUAAAUUUUUAAUGUUUCAUGGUUCAUGACUUCAUGGUUUGAAGCUGUCCAGGUUUUUAGUGUUAUUAAUGUUAAAUUGUUAAUGUGUUAUACACUAACUUGAAGUCAUGGAGCUGCUUCGUUUGUAUGGUUUAUUGGUUUGCAGUUUGCAGUUUGCUUGUUCAUAGACUUGUAUCAGUUUUAAAGUUUUAUAACUUUAUCUUUUUGAGUUGCUGACUUGUUAUGAGUUUGUCUUGCUUACUUGCUUAUAGCUAUGGGUUUGGCAUUUUAGAAUUUGGAUUUUUGGAUUGUAAGGCAUUAAGGCAUUUGCAUUUUUGCCAUAUAAACUUGUUAAGUUAUGACUUAUGAGUUUUCAGUUAUGACUUAUGAGUUCUGACAACUCAAUGAACUCACAUCUGCCUUGCAUAAUUUCAUUUUACCUUUCAUUUACAAGGCAUUUUCAUUUUACCUUUCAUUUACAAGUUGACUUAUGAGUUCUGACAACAAUGCAAUUUAUGCACUUAUGCAACAGGUAUUGUUUUGUGUUGUACUUUAACAAAGAUGUAUGUAAGCUUUUUGUGUAGAUUAUGUAGCAGUUUAUGCGAUUAUGCAGCAGUUAAUGCACUUAUGCAACAGAUUUUCAGUCACAGUGUGUGAGAUGAUUUAGGCCCGAAAACCGGUAGGCUCAGCCCGGCCCGUAACAGUCCGGGUUUUGACCGGUCCCUCAUCUGCAGACAACAAAGCCCGGCCCGGUUCUGGUACACCUAGUCCGGUCCCGGUCCUAGUAAAUAGUCUGCCGGUCCGAGCCCGUGCGCAGCCCUAGUUUAAUCCCAUUUGGUCUUUAGUCCUUAAACAACAUACGUAAAUAUCAUAUUAGCAUUCUUGAAUGAACCCGCUUUUGAGUGUCAUUCCAAGACAUGAUUCAUGUAAUUGACCAUACUUGCAAUUGUUUCAUACCUUAAAUAUAGAUCCCACUUUAGUUUAACCACACUACCAAUUAUACUCAAAAACAGCUAUUGUCCAAACUCCUUAUUACCAACUUCUUCCGAGAAUUCAUACCCCAAUACAAAAUAUGUGAAUGUAAUAAAAAUGUCCACUUAAAUAACCGAAGCCAAUUCUCCAUAAAACUUAUCAAUUUGAUCUUCCCCCACACUUCCACAAUAUUGUUCAUUUAUCAGCAAUGCAUUAGCCAUUCGAGAAGCAACCACACAUCAUAACAAUCAAAACAAACAACUGGAAUCACAAACACCUCAAGCACUACAUUUUGGCAGAAACCAACACUUUUUCUUCUUUUCCAAAUAAGAGAAUAACUUAGUUGCUGGAAACCCCCACCAACAGCCGAAACUCUACCCGUAGUCUCUCUCAUCUCCAGGACCUCAGAAUUCCACAACCUCACAAACCCUCAAUUAAACGAUAGAAUUAGGAUCUUAAUCUAAACCAAAACAUAACUCUCAACCAAGAAAAAUGAAUCAAAUCCAGCUUACCAGGUCAAAUGGACAAGCUGGUGAAGCUUUCGGCGGCGUCCGGGCAGUUGUGGUGAUCUACGUGCCAUCGCCGUCAUUCAGCACCAGCGAGGACAAGGCUUCUGGGUUUUGUUGUGUGAUUUCCUCCGAGUUUGUUGGCGACGACGAUGAAUAGAAUAGCCACAAACAGAGCUUCAGCUAGGCAAAACGACAAGGACUGUUGUGACGCGUGCGGCGGCCGGCGACCAAGCUCAGUGAGUGUCGCCAAAUUGUCAAAUCAGAAUUCGUUGAUGGCUCGAUGGGUGGUGACCGUGAGAGGAGGUUGUGGCUGGAGCGAUGGUUUCUAGUGGUAGCAGUGACAAGAGGAAGGAGAGAUGGGAGGGAGGAAAGAG
RNAcentral lists this long non-coding RNA (19209 nucleotides) under Fragaria vesca (wild strawberry). Its description in RNAcentral is "long non-coding RNA (FVES_LNC001666)". Lineage: Eukaryota; Viridiplantae; Streptophyta; Magnoliopsida; Rosales; Rosaceae. The record is from RNAcentral.